Long non-coding RNA from Hemicordylus capensis (graceful crag lizard), 1161 nucleotides. RefSeq lists it as uncharacterized. The record is from RefSeq and is a predicted model, not a curated record. Lineage: Eukaryota; Metazoa; Chordata; Lepidosauria; Squamata; Cordylidae. The transcript has 2 exons.
UACACGGAAGGCUUAGGAUGACUUCAGCUUAGGCAUGGGGCUUGAGGCACCUUUUAAAAUGGAGGUCGGCAGGUCAUUCUAAAUCAUGAUGUCCAAUAUAGCAUCAGCUCACCACCGUCUCAUUGAGCUCAAGAGAUUUACUUCCACAAAACAUACUUGGGACUGGACGGAGAGGUGGCCGGCAACCCUAUGAUUUCACUAAGCUGGCAGCCAUCUUAUGCCAGUGUGCUAUCAGCUUAACUUUGUUGGGAUCCUAUAUAAUUCCAGCACAAGAAGAAAACCAAAGCAUUCCCCUCCUGCCGAAGACCCACAGAACCCCAACGGCCACUCCCCCCCAGUCCAUGGCAACACUACGGGCAGACACCACUCAGAAGCUGGCAUGCCAGCGACACUCACCCCACCUGUUGGAGGGCGACCUGUGAAGAGCCAAGAGAGACGCAGGGACAAUAAUGAGCAACAGCCAGAAGCUGCAGCACCUAGGCUCUGACUUUAGAUGUUCAGAGCUGUAGUGGAACGCUCUGUAUGCUGUGUCCAGUCUGUUCCAUCUAGCCUGGCUGUAAUCCUGCAGAGCAAAAGGGAUCAUGAGUGCUUGGCCAGCAGUGACUGAAGUGGAGUGCCGGCAUUCACCAAGAGAGAACCCACCUGAGUAGGAGUUCAUGGCCACUUCCCUGUUCUGCACAGUGCAUACUGGUUUUACCGCUCUUUCAUAUGGUCUGAAUGUGUCAUUCCUCCAGAGAAUACUUUGUAAAGGGCUAGAUGUAUGAAUCACAUUAGAAGACAUUUAGAUUUUGUGGUGGCUUUUCAUUUAUUACUAUGUUAACUGUUUAUAUCGCUCAUAUUCCCAAAUAACUGGUUUAAACAGCAGUUUUAAUUCUUUUUAAUACACAGCCAAAUGGCAUUUGGCACCCAGUGGAAUAUUCUAUACCAUUUCCCCAAAGGGUAAGAAAAACCAUGUAUGCCACCUUGAGCGCCUCGGGAAACAAAUAUAAUUCUAGGGUUUUGUUUUAUUUUUAAAUUGGUGUAGGAGUCGAGUAAAAGUAUUUACAAUAUCACGUGUUCCCCCAAAAUAUGUAGAUUGUAAGUUAAGGUGCCUGCCUUAACUUUCAGACUGUGUAAGCAAUAAACUUUUCUUUGUGGUUGCUUAGCCUCCACGCACCCACA